AACACUGUUAACCUGCGGUACCUGCGGAGGGAUCAUUACAGAGUUUCUAUAACUCCCUAAACCAUUGUGAACCUUACCUUCUACCGUUGCUUCGGCGGGCGGGCCGGCCCCAGGGCCGCGCCCCCCCAGGCCCCCCCGCGGGGCGCCCGCCGGAGGAAACCCAAACUCUUGAUAUCCAUGGCCUCUCUGAGUCUUCUGUACUGAAUAAGUCAAAACUUUCAACAAUGGAUCUCAGAUCGG
Molecule: unclassified non-coding RNA, 240 nt
Filed under: soil metagenome
Description: partial contains 5.8S ribosomal RNA, internal transcribed spacer 2, and large subunit ribosomal RNA
Source: RNAcentral